ACGGCUCAGUAACACGUGGCUAACCUACCCUUGAGACGGAGACAACCCCGGGAAACUGGGGCUAAUCCCAGAUAGAUGAGAACUCCUGGAACGGGUUCUCGUCCAAAAGGCGUCUAAGCCAUGCUUUUAGGCGUUGCUCAAGGAUGGGGCCGCGACCGAUCAGGCUGUUGGUGAGGUAACGGCUCACCAAACCUUUAACCGGUACGGGCCGUGGGAGCGGGAGCCCGGAGAUGGGAACUUAGACAAGGUCCCAGGCCCUACGGGGCGCAGCCGUUGCGAAAACUUGUCAAUGCACGAAAGUGUGAACAGGCUACCCCGAGUGCUGUCCGCUGAGGAUGGCUUUUCUCUGCUGUUAAAAGGCGGGGGAAUAAGGAGAGGGCAAGUCUGGUGUCAGCCGCCGCGGUAAUACCAGCUCUCCGAGUGGUGGGGAUGAUUAUUGGGCCUAAAGCGUCCGUAGCCUGCCUUUCAAGUCUCUCGUUAAAUCCGGCGAUUCAAUCGUUGGACUGCGGGAGAUACUGUUAGGCUAGGGGGCGGGAGAAGCCGACGGUAUUUCCGGGGUAGGGGUAAAAUCCUAUAAUCCCNGGAGGANCACCAGUGGCGUAGGCGGUCGGCUAGCACGCGCUCGACGGUGAGGNACGAAAGCUGGGGGNAGCAACCGGAUNANAUACCNNGAUAGUNCAGCUGUAACGAUGCUGCUAGGUGUUGGGGUGGCACGAGCCACNNNAGUGCCGCAGG
This 735-nucleotide ribosomal RNA is filed under the name uncultured archaeon. RNAcentral describes it as "bacterial SSU rRNA". It matches the Rfam family "Archaeal small subunit ribosomal RNA", at positions 85 to 807 of the family's 1478-position model. The record is from RNAcentral.